RNAcentral lists this ribosomal RNA (406 nucleotides) under uncultured bacterium. RNAcentral's name for it is "partial 16S ribosomal RNA". It matches the Rfam family "Bacterial small subunit ribosomal RNA", at positions 29 to 526 of the family's 1533-position model. The record is from RNAcentral.
AUUGAACGCUGGCGGCAGGCCUAACACAUGCAAGUCGAACGAGUGGGGGACGGGGUGGUAAGGGAUGGGAAAGUGCGUGAUGGAGGGGGAUGCGUAAUGGACACUGUUGCUACUACCGCAAAACACCGCAUGUGACGGUAUGGGAUUAGCUAGUAGGGGGGGUAAAGGCUCACAUAGGAGACGAUCCCUAGCUGGUCUGAGAGGAUGACCAGCCACACUGGAACUGAGACACGGUCCCGACGCCUACGGGAGGCAGCAGUGGGGAAUAUUGCACAAUGGGCGCAAGCCUGAUGCAGCAAUGCCGCGUGUAUGAAGAAGGCCUUCGGGUUGUAAAGUACUUUCAGCUGGGAGGCGUUACCCGCAGAAGAAGCACCGGCUAACUCCGUGCCAGCAGCCGCGGUAAUUC